GAUGAACGCUGGCGGCGUGCCUAAUACAUGCAAGUCGAGCGAAUGGAUUAAGAGCUUGCUCUUAUGAAGUUAGCGGCGGACGGGUGAGUAACACGUGGGUAACCUGCCCAUAAGACUGGGAUAACUACGGGAAACCGGGGCUAAUACCGGAUAACAUUUUGAACCGCAUGGUUCGAAAUUGAAAGGCGGCUUCGGCUGUCACUUAAGGAUGGCCCCGCGUCGCAUUAGCUAGUUGGUGAGGUAACGGCUCACCAAGGCAACGAUGCGUAGCCGACCUGAGAGGGUGAUCGGCCACACUGGGACUGAGACACGGCCCAGACUCCUACGGGAGGCAGCAGUAGGGAAUCUUCCGCAAUGGACGAAAGUCUGACGGAGCAACGCCGCGUGAGUGAUGAAGGCUUUCGGUCGUAAAACUCUGUUGUUAGGGAAGAACAAGUGCUAGUUGAAUAAGCUGACACCUUGACGGUACCUAACCAGAAAGCCACGGCUAACUACGUGCCAGCCGCCGCCGUAA
This 514-nucleotide ribosomal RNA is filed under the name uncultured bacterium. RNAcentral describes it as "partial 16S ribosomal RNA". It matches the Rfam family "Bacterial small subunit ribosomal RNA", at positions 28 to 523 of the family's 1533-position model. The record is from RNAcentral.